RNAcentral lists this ribosomal RNA (492 nucleotides) under uncultured bacterium. Its description in RNAcentral is "partial 16S ribosomal RNA". It matches the Rfam family "Bacterial small subunit ribosomal RNA", at positions 31 to 507 of the family's 1533-position model. The record is from RNAcentral.
AGGGAACGCUGGCGGUAGGCCUAACACAUGCAAGUCGAACGGCAGCACAGUAAGAGCUUGCUCUUACGGGUGGCGAGUGGCGGACGGGUGAGGAAUACAUCGGAAUCUACUUUUUCGUGGGGGAUAACGUAGGGAAACUUACGCUAAUACCGCAUACGACCUACGGGUGAAAGCAGGGGAUCUUCGGACCUUGCGCGAUUGAAUGAGCCGAUGUCGGAUUAGCUAGUUGGCGGGGUAAAGGCCCACCAAGGCGACGAUCCGUAGCUGGUCUGAGAGGAUGAUCAGCCACACUGGAACUGAGACACGGUCCAGACUCCUACGGGAGGCAGCAGUGGGGAAUAUUGGACAAUGGGCGCAAGCCUGAUCCAGCCAUACCGCGUGGGUGAAGAAGGCCUUCGGGUUGUAAAGCCCUUUUGUUGGGAAAGAAAAGCAGCAGGUUAAUACCCCGCUGUUCUGACGGUACCCAAAGAAUAAGCACCGGCUAACUUCGUG